This 54-nucleotide transfer RNA is filed under the name Rhodospirillaceae bacterium. RNAcentral's name for it is "tRNA-Leu". It matches the Rfam family "tRNA", at positions 22 to 71 of the family's 71-position model. From Rfam's summary of the family: Transfer RNA (tRNA) molecules are approximately 80 nucleotides in length. Lineage: Bacteria; Pseudomonadati; Pseudomonadota; Alphaproteobacteria; Rhodospirillales; Rhodospirillaceae. The record is from RNAcentral.
AGCACUCCCUUGGUAAGGGAGAGGUCGAGAGUUCAAUUCUCUCCGGCAGCACCA